Molecule: long non-coding RNA, 8963 nt
Organism: Bombus huntii
Lineage: Eukaryota; Metazoa; Arthropoda; Insecta; Hymenoptera; Apidae
Exons: 3
Source: RefSeq, a predicted model, not a curated record
GGGAGACGACGAAGCGCGCACCACGACUCUGAUCGCGAGAAUCUUUCUUAGCUGUUGAGAGCGUGGCGUGCUUCAGAGGAAAAGAAAAAAAUAACACGGUGGGGAAAAUAAGAAAUGCUCCGCCGCAUUAUCUUAUCUGCAUUAUCAUACACACUGCGAUAUGUUGGCCUCGCGAGAGCAACUUUGCCGAGAAAACCGACACUGGCGUUCAGUUCCGCGUUUGAUGUGACCAACGUUUCCAUGAUCCUGAUUACUAUUAAUAGUAUUAUUGUUAGUAGUAUCGUUAUCGUUUUGGUGAGCAGUUUGCAGAUUUUUAUUUCGUUUUUUCUUCUGCGUAUACAUGGAAAGUUUAAGAACUCGAAAAUACGUGGAAUACACGUAACGUGCAAAAAUGUAUUAUAUAAAGGUACGUGAAGUAUAGUGUUUGGUAUAAUACUCGGUAGAUACAUAGCGUUCGGUAUGUGUUUAGUGUGCCACUAAAUGUGAUAUCGACGAUCGAUUAUCAUCGGCGAGUGGACUACGCUUUUUCGCGGAUUUUAUGGCGAAUGUAAAAAUUCAGAGGUUCGUGGAAUACGCGCAACGUGAAAAUAUACGAGCCGCUGCAUAUGCAAAAGCGGUGUAAGUCAAAGAAAAGUUGAUUAUUACCGAGUAAUGAGAGGUAAAAUGAGAAUUCUGUAAAGCGUGGAGCGGACGAUUCUCAGCGAGAAGCUAACCAACAUUUACCUACGCUUGCUUUUACUUCUGCGCGAAACAGGAUGAAGGUCACGCUCUCGUGAUGCGGUGUUAAAUGAAAUGCGCGAAAAAUUGAUUUACACCGCGUUUACGUUACGCGGCUCGUAUCGUAAGGUGCCUGCCUAAAGUACGGUACUGCAAUAUUAGGUCAUCCCAUAAGUUCGUGCCGACUUUUGUGUAUACAUUUCAUGCGUCGAUUUCUAAACAUACGGCGAUAAGGGACCAAUGCACUUGAGCUUAGCUGAUCGAGAACAGAUUUUCCUGGAUAUAAGGUCGUAAUAUAGCGAACACAGUGACUUGUAACAGUAAAAAAUGAUGAGUGAAAUGCGUAUCCAUUUUCGACAUCUCGUGUUAUAUGAAUCUCGGAAAGGAUGUUCAGCAACAAUUGCCACGAAAAACAUAUGUGCUGUUUACGGCGAAAAUGCGCUUUCAUCUCGCACCUGUAGCAAGUGGUUGCAACGUUUUAGAGCUGAGAAUUUCUGUUUAGAAGACGAGGAACGCUCCGGGCGUCCUCCUCACACAGACGAACAUAAAAUUCGCGAUCUCGUUGAAAAAUCACGAAGUUUCACAGUUCAAGAGAUGUGAAAUGUUCUGAAAAUACCCGAGAUAACGAUUCAUAGGUGUUUAAAAAAAAUAACAUAUAUAACCGCUCGAAAAACGGCACGAACUUAUGGGAUGACCUAAUAUUUAUGGACGUACGAAGGUUUCGGCGACGUCGAUGAUCCACGAUUAGCUGGCAGCAGGAAAAUUACAAAUUUACUAUAACGAUGCAGAUAUUUCGAGCCAGCUGUAAAUGCAACGAGACACAUUGGUUCGUUUGCGAUGGCGAAACGAAAGGAGACAGAAAGAGAGGAAAGAUAUAAUAUACGAUAGAAUUAUGGAGGUCAGAUUGAAGAAAGACAAAUGAGGGCCAGUGAGGACUUCUGAGAAUUCUUCAUCUUCUCCUCGCGAAAUCGUCUUUUCGAUAAAUCCAAAGCGUGCGGUGAGUGAUUUGUCGUCUUAUUGGAUUACAAUGUUGCGUUUAAUACGUUGUGUCGUGAUCGAUAGGCGCCGAAUCACGCCCCUAAUUGAUCCUCCUCCCACAGCUGAUAUAAAUCCUCUAAUCAAUAAAUAACGAUUCCUGGAAAUUUCGUUGUAUUUUUAAUUGAGGUUUUUAUUCUUAGCCUUCUUCUUAUAAUAUACGUAGCUGCUUUUACUUUUUUUUUUAUUAUUGUCGGAAUUUCAUAUUUUAUAGUAGCUCGAUUUUUACGUUAGAAAAAAGAAAACUAUGUGUAUUGACCUAGUUUAUCACCGAGAUCUUGAAAAAUCUGUCGUUUCCUAAAAACAAAUUUUCCAAUUUACCAUUCUCUCUCUCUCUCUCUUAUCGUCUAAGAAAAAUCAUAGUGAUCAUCCGAAGCCAUAAAAAAGCCCAAAGCAUCUUUAUCGUUCCUCAUGUUUCACCAUUCCUCUUACUUUCUCCCCAAAAGUAUAUCAUCGAGAUUGGAUCCGUACGUGCAACGCUUUCGUUAAAACUUGCUAUCGUAAUCUACAACGAUUGGAAAAUUUCGAACAAUCGAUUACUUGAGUUCAGAAUUAAAGGCAUGGAACAAUUGGUAUAAAUGGAAUUGGUAGACGAAAAAUUUGUCUAUUGUUUCCUACAGAAAAUUUGCCAAUUACAAUUCUCAAGAAUCACAGUGAUCACCGGAAACCCAUGAAUAACGCAAAACUAUCUAUCUUCGUAUUUCUCUUAGCUUCUCCGCGAAAGUAUUAUCUUCAAAAUUUCACCUAUGCAUACGACGAUUUUAUUCAAACUCAGCGUCGUUCGUCACGUACUUUGCGAUAUUUCAAAAAUUGAGAAUAAUAAAUUUAAAAGGAUGCUUGAGUGUAAAAUUAAAAACGCUAAAAAAAUUUCUCUGCUAACUUAUUUAUCAUCCUUCCUCCGCCCCCCCCCCCUCCCCCUCCCCCGCCCCGAAAAAAAAUUUUUUUUGCCAAUUACCACUACGAAGAAUUACAACGAUCGUGCGAAAUCGAAUAGAAAUCGCCAAACCGUGUCCUCCUAGUUUCUUCUCCGAAAGGACUGUCGUCGAAAUUAUAGCAAUAGGAUGACGGAACAUGAAGGGCUGCCGGUGGAUGGAAACAAAACCGUAAUGGCGGUGAAUAAUUGCCGAGCAGGCAUGUACGACGCGGACCUCGGAUAAGUUUGUGCGUUUGACAGGAAACGCGUUAUAUGGCAGUCUCAUGAAAAUUAUAUGUUGCGCCCCAACGGCGCUAGGGUGGUACGCACGUUAUAAAGUCCACCCUCCCUCGUCGAUCAAUAUAUACGCCACCCAUGGUGUGUUCCUCCGUCUGUCGAUUUGUUUCCCAUGAGCCUCGUACGGCUGCUGCCAGUUCUCUUUUUUUUUUUUUUCUUUCGCCCCUCGACCCGUAUAAAACGUGAAAUCACCGUGUGCGUUUCGUCGUAGCACGCGCCUGAAUUAUCGUAAAGCGACGUUCACGGGGUAUCCUUGAUUCGUUUAGCGGGCGAUUAUUUUCCUGUGAAUUUAGAGAAAUCGUUGGAGUACAUUUUCGGAGAGUUUUCUAUGUUCCGCUUCUUCCUAGGGGAAUUAUUCUUAGUGCCUCUAGGGGAAUCACCGGGACCGAUCGCCGGUGAAUUGUUCCUAGUUACAUUGGCCAGUUGCCUAGGGAAAUUCGGUGACUCGACUGCACAUACUCUUUCUAUCGAGUUUUUUGGGCCGAUAAGCGCCAGCCGGGCGUUAUUAUUAGAUGCAAAUUCGUACUUUCAUCGAGAUGAGUGUAAAAAAAGGAGAAGGAAGUUCAGAUGGAAAAUUUGUUUAUCCACGAAAUAUUACAGCAAGUACGAUAUUUUAGGUAUUUUCUAUAUCUCUGCGCGUUAGCCGCGUCUUGUACAUCUUAGCAUCUUCUUGUGCAUCUCGAGAUUUUACGUAAAUAUAUGGAAAAUGGUUGCAUUACAAAGGACGAGGCGCCUAAAAACAGGCCAACUAAAUUUGCGCCUUCCUAUUAGCCGAUAACAGCUGAGACGUUCAGGUGGCCUGUUUCAGGCGCCUCGCCCUGUAUCUUUCAGUAUUAUAAUAUUUACCCAGAGAUAGAAUGGAUAUUAACCUUUUCAGAUUGUCAAGGUUAAUAACGAGCGAAAUUUAUUGCCGUGAUAAGAACGAUUCUUUCGUUGGAUCGUAUCGUACGUAGAUCGUGAGUUGUAGAAACGGCAAGAAUUUUUGAAACAGGCAAUGAGAAAAUGGAUCCACUCGGUCACCACCAGCAGAACUGGUUUCUUCGUCAAUUUAGAAAUAAUAACGAAAAUAUCUCAAGAAUACAAAACGUCUAUCUCGUUUGAAUCUUGUUCUUACGUUCCAUAUUUAAAGAUAAGAUUGAAACUUGUCGUACAAUGAUACAAAAAGAUCUAUUUGAAUAAUCUACACACACACACACACUAUAAUUGUUUGGAAAUAUGUAUUAGUAUCGUACCGGGUGUUUUCUUUCGUCAUUUUAUAAGUUCGCGAAACGUAGAAAAUUAUCUCGCCAGUUCACCUCCAACGAUACAACGAGUACCUCCAGUUUCAACAAUGAAAUUUAUAUUUUUUUCGUGUUGGCGUUUGCAAUUAAAUCAGAGUUGUUCGGACGCGUAUCGAAGAGGGACAGACGUAGUUAUAAAAUAAUUUCCGAUAUUUUCGUUUGGUAGCAUCGUAGCUGGCGGCGUUAGCCGGGCCCGAAAUUGAAAUUUCGUUGGCAACCCUGGCGUCCAUUUCGCGUUUCCCUUUUUCCACCGAAACAAUCGAAUCCUGCGCUAAUUGGACCUAGCGGAACUUUGCGUAACGUCUAUCUUAAUAUUACGCUACGAAUUUCACCGAUCGGAGCUUCCAAUCGUACGAUACGUCACGUAAAACCUACCUAUGUAAUUAAAUUUCGAAAAGAUUCGAGAUACUUAAUUCUGUACGUGUGUGUGUGUAUGUGUGUGUGUGUGAUCGAAAUAUAGGUCGAUUAUUAUCGGCGAUGAUUUUAGUUGAAUAUUCGGUACAUCGUAGAAACUGUAUUUAAAAAGAAGAAAAAAGAGAGGCCAGAAUUUACUUAAAAUUAAUAAUUUUCUAUAGUUACCAUACAUGUAAUAAUUAUUAGCAUAGAAUGUUUAAUUUGAGAGGUUCAAAGGAGAAAUAGCAAAAAACCGUGGGUAAAAUUUCAGACAGGAAAAAGAUAAUCCGAUUUCCAAAUCUGCAAGUUUAACAUUUAUGUUACAUAAUUACAUUAUACAGGGUGGUUGGUAAUUGGUGGUACAAGCGGGAAAGGGGCGAUUCUACGCGUAAAAAGAGGUCGAAAAUAUAGAAUAAAAAUUUUUCGUUCGAGGCUUCGUUUUCGAGAAAAUCGACUUUGAAUUUUCGGUCGGUACGCGUGCACUUUAUCGCGUCUCGUUAUAACGGAUCUCACCGUAGAUCGUUGUCUCGAUUGACGUUAUUUUUUUAAUUUUUUACAUUCUUAUUCUAUAUUUUCGACUUCUUUUUUCGCGUAGAAUCACCCCCUUUCCGCUUGUACCACCAGUUACCAACCACCCUGUAUAUAUUAUAUAUAAACAUAUUAUAUUACGCUAACACGUUGUUGUUUGGUCACAAAUACUAUUUACGAUAUUUACGAUAUUUACAUCGUAUCAGUAGGCGGAUUUGUAUCCAUUUAGCUGAAUGUCCGCUGCUUCUCACGCACAAGUAUUCCAAUUUAUGUUUACAACCCUCUGUUUGGACACCCUGUUGGAGUUAAAUUUCGAAAAACACUCAAACACGUGUUUGUUUGUUUUCAACGAGAAGUUCACGGUGUCUAAGUUUAACGAACAUACAAAUGCGAUUAUCUCUUGGAAGAAGAAAAAACGUACUCUUUCUCACCCCUAUAAGAAUUGGAUUUCGAAAAGCGGUCAAACACGUGUUUGUUUAUUUCUAACGAGGCGUGCACGUGCCGAAUUUCACGUACCUAACUUCGGUCGGUACAAAGGUAUGGUUAUCUUCUGAAAGAGAGAAACCUACCCUUUUUCUCCCCUCCCCCCCCCCCAAGAGUCGAAUUUCGAGAAACGUUCGAACACUUGUUUGUUUAUUUUUAACGAGCAGUUCAUAUGCCGAGUCUGCAACUUCAGUGAAUAUAAAAAUACGAUUAAACUGUUUUAAAAAAAUGUUACCCUCUUCUCGUUAUCCGUUUGGGGUCCAAACAUCCUUUCUACGUCAUAAAACAAGCAUAUUGUCCACAUUUCAAAUCUCUGACUGCAGUUAGCAGUUUGGGCUGGGCGUUGACGAGCUGGGCGUCAGUCGCUUUUGCAAUAUAAAACGCAAUUUUUUUAUUCUUGAUUUCUAUUUUAUUUCAUCCCUUAAAUUUUCUGGUGUAUACAAAUAGAUUCUAUUAUCCGAUUAAUUAAUUUCUCAAUUUUUGUCGAUAUGAGAAUCUACAGAGAAUUAGACGAUCGAAAGCAAUAACCACGAACGAACAAUUGAUAUGAAAUUUGGAAUUUUUAUUUAAAUUCAAUGAAAAUUGACUGAGCUAAAAUCGAUCGGUAAAAAGAAUUUCUUCCUUCUUAUUUAGUUUCGAGAUUGCUCGCAACGUUGUGUUUUCGCCUUUCGUUUUCAACUUCUUAUCCACUCAAUUAACUAAACGUUCCACAGUGACUUUCUGCGUUGCGAACGUUGCCGCUUCCUCGGUUCCUCUUUCGUGAUUAGGUGAACACGGGUGAAGUUUGUGUGACCUACUCCUAGCCUUGCAAGUAUCGACCGAUGCUUCCUACUCUCUCAAUCUCCACAGCUUUUUUCUCCCGAAAAUAUCGUCUCGCACGUUUAUCACUGUUAUUAUAAAUUUUGUAUCGUUACUAUUGACACAUGUGUAAUUUUGUGUGCUACGCUAGAUUAGCCGCGUAGUAGUGACACAUAUAUAUGAGUAUGAGUGUGUGGAGUAUAUGCGUGCACAGCGUCUCUUAAAACAGAUUUUUUUAUUUAUUUAUUUAUUUAUUUAAAUUUUACAAUUUGUCCAGUAGGAUAUUUGGUAAAAUAUUAUAGCUUAGUGGUAUAAUAAUAUAACAUGUGGGUGGCUACCCCCAACGGGGUACCAUCUUCGUGUUUGUUAGGUUAUAUCCUUUGUGAAAACAGAUGAAUGCAACUGUUCCGUUGGUAAUGUGGUAAAGAAGAUGGCGAGACAAAGAGAGUGGCUGAGACGCGUGCGAAUGUAUAUCCACGAAUAUCUUGUAAAUCACGUAUUAAAUAAAUCUGAAACUAUUUUGAUAUCAAUUCUAAGUGUAAUCUAAUUGUUCCUAUACGUUUAUUUCGGUGAUUAAGAUCCAUAAUUCUCAACAGUUACACGCUCUGGCACGGUUCUCCAAUUUUGAUAUCCCCAUCUUCUUUCAACGACCAAGAAGACUCGUAAAUAAUAUUAAAAAUGGCUUUAUCGCUAAACUGCGGAUUUUCACGUACGUGUACCACGUAUUUAUAGAAAAUUUGAAGGUGUAACGUUCCACGAAAUGCGCACACGAUAUCCAAUAAGGUACAGCGCUUUCUACACUGCUCGGUGAACCGCAACGAGGCACAAAGACAGUUCGAUUGUCUCUGAGAGUUUUUAUUCGCGUCGAGGGAGUUGCAAAACUCGUGGAACGCGGCUGAAUGAGCCCACGCGCAUUCCCUGACUGUCGUACGCGGUCCAAGAUAUUGACAUUGGCCCUUUUCCACCAGAUCUGAUCGUUUUAUUAUGCAGCCAGCGGAACUCGGUUUCGAGGAUUGGCACAGUUUCAAGCGCACCAAGCUACUCAGACGUUUCACGACCCAGUGCUAGCCUCCGUCGGUUUAUACACGUCCUAAAACAUUUAUAUCACGGUCGAUAUUUCACGGUAAAUUGGAAGAAACGAUCUCGAAUAACGUUAUAUCCAAGCAGACGAAAAAUCCAGUGGCCAUUCGUUUCAGAAAACAGUCGAUAUUAGAUCGUCGAGAUUAUGCGAGUAUUCGAUCAAAAUAAUGAAAUUAUCUUUACUUUGGAUCGUAUUUGAAUAAUUCCGGUGUUCGAUAAAAAUAAUGCAGAAAUUUUUCAUGCACGUCCGCGACGAGAAACAUCGUUUUACGAUAUGUUUCUAAGAAGAAAACGUUUCUGUAGGACAUUUGCUGCUAUACAUCGAUACACCUUCAGGUUUCUCGUCAAAAAAUCGAUCUUCAGAAAACGUUCUUUUCGACGUUACACGCGACCCUUAAAACAAUAGAACUGCGUAUCGAGAAGAUUUUCGUUGAACAAUGAACGAGGCAGAUACUCGACUAAUUUCAUUUAGCCGAAGCAUCCUGUACAUUCUACAGAAAUUUGCAUACACGCGACCUAUAAUCUAUAAUCCAUAAGCUAACGUGAAUUAAAUUACCUACAUACAGGGUGUUCGCGUUCAGAAGCGAAGAAAAACGUAACGCGAUAUUCUCGUAUUUGUGUCUCGCUUGUCUUAAACCUAAGAAAUUCUACGAAAUUAAAGCUGCCAUAUCUUUGAGUCUUUCACGCUCCGCUGCCUUCGUUCGAGAGGAAUACAAAGAGAUUGCCGUAUGGCGAUCGUAUGGCAGAAAAUUGCAAGCUGAAAACAUUUUUCGAAAAUGUGUAUCUCUUUGCAGCUUCGCCCUCGAAAUGUAAAUCGAAAAAGCAAAUAAAAAAAAAAAAGUGAAAAAUACGCAGAAGGUGGAACUGCUCGAAAAUCGAGCCCAAACGUCAUCCUAAUGCGGCAACUAAGUGAUUGCGGAUUUUGUCAUUAGGUGGUAAUGACAAAAUCCGCAAUCACUUAGUUGCCAGCCCAAUAUGAAAAGGAUGCGAAACAAGGCAGUCAGAUGCCAAUUUGUAGGGCGAGGCGCUGGAGCGUAGCAGAGGCAAAUACAUUUUGGAUGGCCGGGAAACAGAGUAGGUGUAUUUUUGUAUGCGAAGAACAAUCGGAAACGCUGAAACGUUUGUUAGAGGACUGUGGAGGAAUAGAGGAUAGAAGCACGCGUUAGAGAAAACUGUACGAGAUCGAGAUGGAAAAAAGACAGAAUGAUAGAAUGGUUGAGGAAAUGAGAAAGAAGCGAGUGUGUAUAAGGAAGGAUAGGGGAAAAGGAAGAGCAGACGUGGGAACGCCAAAGAGAGAAUGUGCGACUAACAUGUGAGAUUCAAUUUAAGUAAUUAACCGAGAGUAAAUAGAAUGUAACUGAGAGUGAGUUCAAGCAUUAGAUUGUCCCAAAAGUUUCUUUCGUUCUUGUCCCGGGAGCGACAAGAUGGAUCACACGUAA